Molecule: ribosomal RNA, 253 nt
Filed under: uncultured bacterium
Lineage: Bacteria
Description: partial 16S ribosomal RNA
Rfam family: Bacterial small subunit ribosomal RNA
Source: RNAcentral
UACGUAGGGGGCUAGCGUUGUCCGGAAUCAUUGGGCGUAAAGGGUGCGUAGGCGGUCGCGUAAGUCGGAUGUGAAAUCUCAGGGCUCAACCCUGAAACUGCAUUCGAUACUGCGUGGCUAGGGUACUGGAGAGGAGACUGGAAUUUACGGUGUAGCAGUGAAAUGCGUAGAUAUCGUAAGGAAGACCAGUGGCGAAGGCGAGUCUCUGGACAGUUACCGACGCUGAGGCACGAAGGCCAGGGGAGCAAACGGG